RNAcentral lists this ribosomal RNA (559 nucleotides) under uncultured bacterium. Its description in RNAcentral is "bacterial SSU rRNA". It matches the Rfam family "Bacterial small subunit ribosomal RNA", at positions 716 to 1353 of the family's 1533-position model. The record is from RNAcentral.
CGAAGGCAGCUCACUGGACUGCAACUGACACUGAUGCUCGAAAGUGUGGGUAUCAAACAGGAUUAGAUACCCUGGUAGUCCACACAGUAAACGAUGAAUACUCGCUGUUUGCAAGGGCCAAGCGAAAGCAUUAAGUAUUCCACCUGGGGAGUACGCCGGCAACGGUGAAACUCAAAGGAAUUGACGGGGGCCCGCACAAGCGGAGGAACAUGUGGUUUAAUUCGAUGAUACGCGAGGAACCUUACCCGGGCUUAAAUUGAAGGUGCUGCAUGGUUGUCGUCAGCUCGUGCCGUGAGGUGUCGGCUUAAGUGCCAUAACGAGCGCAACCCUUAUCUUCAGUUACGACUCUGGAGAGACUGCCGUCGUAAGAUGGAGGAAGGUGGGGAUGACGUCAAAUCAGCACGGCCCUUACGUCCGGGGCUACACACGUGUUACAACGGGGGGUACAGAAGGCAGCUAGCGGGUGACCGUAUGCUAAUCCCAAAAUCCUCUCUCAGUUCGGAUCGAAGUCUGCAACCCGACUUCGUGAAGCUGGAUUCGCUAGUAAUCGCGCAUCAGC